Non-coding RNA from Callithrix jacchus (white-tufted-ear marmoset), 162 nucleotides. NCBI's taxonomy places the organism in Eukaryota, Metazoa, Chordata, Mammalia, Primates, Cebidae. The record is from Rfam.
AUCCUUACCUGGUAGGUGAGAUGCCAUGAUCAUGGAGGUGGUUUUCCCAAGGUGAUGUCUACUCAUUGCACUCCAGAUGUGCUGACCCUGUGAUUUCCUCAAAUGUGGGAAAUGCAGCUGCAUAAUAUGUGGCAGUGGGAACUGUGUUCUCAUUAUCCCACA